AGAGUUUGAUCCUGGCUCAGAUUGAACGCUGGCGGCAUGCCUUACACAUGCAAGUCGAACGGUAACGCGGGGCAACCUGGCGACGAGUGGCGAACGGGUGAGUAAAGCAUCGGAACGUGCCCAGUAGUGGGGGAUAGCCCGGCGAAAGCCGGAUUAAUACCGCAUACGACCUACGGGUGAAAGGGGGGGAUCGCAAGACCUCUCGCUAUUGGAGCGGCCGAUGUCAGAUUAGGUAGUUGGUGGGGUAAAGGCCUACCAAGCCGACGAUCUGUAGCUGGUCUGAGAGGACGACCAGCCACACUGGGACUGAGACACGGCCCAGACUCCUACGGGAGGCAGCAGUGGGGAAUUUUGGACAAUGGGCGCAAGCCUGAUCCAGCCAUGCCGCGUGCGGGAAGAAGGCCUUCGGGUUGUAAACCGCUUUUGUCAGGGAAGAAACGCUCUGGGAUAAUACCCUGGGGUAAUGACGGUACCUGAAGAAUAAGCACCGGCUAACUACGUGCCAGCAGCCGCGGUAAUACGUAGGGUGCAAGCGUUAAUCGGAAUUACUGGGCGUAAAGCGUGCGCAGGCGGUUAUGCAAGACAGAUGUGAAAUCCCCGGGC
Molecule: ribosomal RNA, 603 nt
Filed under: uncultured bacterium
Lineage: Bacteria
Description: bacterial SSU rRNA
Rfam family: Bacterial small subunit ribosomal RNA
Source: RNAcentral